Molecule: microRNA precursor, 178 nt
Filed under: Marmota monax (woodchuck)
Lineage: Eukaryota; Metazoa; Chordata; Mammalia; Rodentia; Sciuridae
Source: RNAcentral
UCCAACUGGAUACAUUAAUGCACACUCUUGCUUCACCCUCUCAAGUGAAAAGUCUUCUAAGACCAUGACUCUGUUUUAUAUAUAUGUAAGGUAAGUCUUACAUAUAUAUAUCUUACAUAUAUAUAGAUAGAUAAAUCUUAGGGUGAAGCAAGAGUGUGCAUUAAUGUAUCCAUUUGGA